Molecule: long non-coding RNA, 1407 nt
Organism: Zea mays
Lineage: Eukaryota; Viridiplantae; Streptophyta; Magnoliopsida; Poales; Poaceae
Exons: 4
Source: RefSeq, a predicted model, not a curated record
GGCCCACCAGGGCACAUGAAACCGGCCAUGCCCCCAACCCUAGCCGCCACUACCUGCUCCCUCUCCCUAGCAGCCGACAGCUGCCAUCCAGCGCCACCAGGAAAGCCGCCCAGGCGCCCCGCCUCUGCAUCCGCCCGCCAGGAGCAGCGCCCCUGCAACCCGCUCUGAAGACUCGACGCCCAGAGCCGCGCGCAACCCCGUUCGCCGCCCCGCCCUCCGUCUCCCGUCGCCUCGCCCCUGCGCUCCGUCAGCUGCCCCUCCCCGAACCUUCUGCAAAUUCCUAUUGUUUCAAGCUGCAUAGAAGUCUGGGAUUUUCUGAGUGUGGAUUCACAGGUUAGUUUCCUUAUUUAACUCUUUAUCAUCUCAAUAUUUUCAAAACUGACGUUCAAUAAAUUGGGGAAUGUCUCUUUGCAGACAUAUAUUUUCACAGACACUCUCUCAGUUAUCCAAAUAUUGUCAGGUUUGUUGGCCCGAAUGGCUAGUUCUUUGUUUUUGCAUUGUUUAAUGCUGAAUUCCUAUUAUCCUGCAGUCAGUUUAGAUGGUCGGUCAGCCACCAGGGCCUCCCCGUCCGGCCGUCGUGCGUCCAACAGUCGGGCACCGGCGGGCGGCGGCCGCUCGCCCCUGCGGCUUGGGCGCUCGGCCACAGCCAGUGCGGGCCGUGCGGCAGUGUCCACUCGGGCCUCGGCCAGCUGCUAGCUAAUCCUAAUCAGUAAUUACUGUAAGCGUUUCUCAUUUUCUCAGUUUUUUUUGUCACUACUCACUGGUGAACAGCCUUUAGUGCCCAAGAACAGCCUUCAGUGCCCAAGCUCGUGUUGGAAACCAGCUGCGGCAUGAUGCUUUGGUGAUUUGGUUGCUUAAUAAUUAACUCAGUUCAUUGGAUAAUUUAUUGGUUUGUCUCUCCAUGUUCAGUUUGCACUUUGUGGACAAGAAGUUGUGAAUGCCUUCAGUGCUGCAGUGUUGGGCCUAUCUUCAGGUUGUGUUUCUUCUCAAGUCAACCAAGAGCAGCCUCAUGAUGGUUCCCCUCCUCUGAGAGAAGAUGACAAGAAUGGGCAUUAUGUUUUUGCUGUUGGAGAUAAUCUCACAUCUCGUUAUAAGAUCAAUGCAAAAAUGGGAGAAGUCUACAGGAAUCAGUGGUCUUCUCCGCUACGCUCCUGAAAUAUUUGAGCAGUCUGGAGUGGCUAGUUUGUUUUCAGACAUUGGACUUUCUCCUCAUUCAACAUCAAUUCUCAUGAGUACCCUUAAUGCUUUGCUGAUACUCCCUUGUAUAACUGCCGCAAUGCUGCUGAUGGAUGUCUGCGGGAGAAGGUAGAAUCUGAGACACCAUGAAAAUUAGUGAUGCAGUUGUGGACUUUUGAACAAUAGCUGGAGUGAUAUGAAACAUUAGUGAUGUAGUUGUGGGCUUUUGAA